Molecule: non-coding RNA, 73 nt
Organism: Phrynosoma platyrhinos (Desert horned lizard)
Lineage: Eukaryota; Metazoa; Chordata; Lepidosauria; Squamata; Phrynosomatidae
Source: the annotation of a GenBank genome assembly
GGUUAGUAUGGCAUAGUGGUUUGAGUGUUGGACUACAACUCUGCAGUCUAGGGUUCAAAUCCCUGUUUAGCCA